GCACCCCAUCCCGGGCCACUGCCCACCCUUUCCCCGACCUGGACCUCUCCUGGCGGUUUGCUCUAGGCGUCCUCUCCUCAAGGCGCACCGCGGUGACCUGCAGACCUGCAGACCUGCUGACAGACGCAAGACAGGGUUCUAUUUAUUUAUAGAGAGAGAGCGAAAGCGAGAGAGAUCACAGAGGGAGAGGGAGAAGCAGACUCACCACUGAGUGGAGAGCCCCAUGCCGGGCUCUAUCUCAGGACCCUGAGAUUAUGACCUGAGCCGAAGGCAGACGCUUAACUGACUGAGCCACCCAGUGUACCAUGAACAUUUCUUCCAUGCACAAGGGUGAAAAUUCCCUACUGAAAGACGGAGAACACUGUAGUUGGAUCAAAAGGCUGCUGGUAACAAGAGUGACACCUAAAGCAAAAUAUCAGCUUAAGGUUAAAGCACAUAGCCUGGCAAAUGCCUGCCAGGGAAAGCAGCGGCAGCAAUAUUCUCAUCAGAGAAAACAAAAUUGAAGGCCAAAGGCAUUAAAGAUAUGGGAUAUCA
Long non-coding RNA from Mirounga angustirostris (Northern elephant seal), 534 nucleotides. RefSeq lists it as uncharacterized. The transcript has 3 exons. Lineage: Eukaryota; Metazoa; Chordata; Mammalia; Carnivora; Phocidae. The record is from RefSeq and is a predicted model, not a curated record.